Molecule: long non-coding RNA, 2480 nt
Organism: Brassica rapa (field mustard)
Lineage: Eukaryota; Viridiplantae; Streptophyta; Magnoliopsida; Brassicales; Brassicaceae
Source: RefSeq, a predicted model, not a curated record
UGAAGACGACUUUCUGAGAUCUGAUUCCCCCGGAGCUCGGACGGCGCGUGACGGCGCGUACCGGCGUCCGGAGGGCCCUCCUUCUAUUUCCCUUCUCGUUUUGCUGCCGCCGCUUCACCAGUCUUCUUACCUUCGAUAUGUACGGAGUCGUGGGCUAGGGUUUGACGCCAGUGAGUGCUCCGCUGCAGAGGCGCUUCUUCUCUGGUGGUCUCUCCGUCUCUCUGUGGCUUCGGCGAGUGGGUUAAGAGGUUGGUGGUGGCUGUAGUCGGUUUUUUGGGUUGAAUCGAGAUCGAUUUUUCACGGUUCGAUCUCGUCUAGCUUUCCUUUGUCUUCGAGUGGGAGGGUCGGCGUGGCUUCUACGGGUCAAUGUCGGUUCGCCGCUACAGGUCCAAGGGGUCGCUCGGCUUGGGAUCGAGUUUCUCGGCUCUCGUUGUUUCGUGAGCUCGGGUUCUCUUUCUAUUGGUGUGGUGUGUGCCGGUGGAUCCUUCUACCACGGCGGCGGGUUGUGGGUUUGAACACGCAGUAGGGAUGGUGCUCAAGCUCAGUGGCUGGCUCGCGCAAGGUCUAGCUCGUGGUUUAAAGGAUGGUCGUCUAUGCCGUCUCAGUGGCCGUGUGUUCUUCCUCCUCACCUCGAACCUCCUCUUCGCGGUUCAUGAUCUGUUUUCCCGGCUUGAUUCUAUCCGAAGUCGGCACGUCUUGUAGUGUUGUCGAAUUCAGUGGGUUUCGGUUGGGAAUUAGCCUUGUUCUUCAUUUCAUGCUUGCUGGUGCAAGCGAUGGCUUUAGCAGCUCCAGUUUCAGUUCGUCGGUUCUCGAUGGCUACAGACGUGUGAUGGUUCUCGUGUUUUUGACUGUCACAGCUUGCGUUCGGUCUUCGCUCACAUCCCAGCACUACAUGGGCUUACUUGAGCUUCUUGUGGUGGUGAGGGAGGCAAUUGUGUGCAGGUUGGGCUCAGAUUAUGGAGUACAGAGGUUGCAGCCUGUUUUCCUCGGAUCGGCACCAUGUACAGGUCGCAUCCGGGCAAAAUAAAAGCUCGAUUUGGUUGUUGAAGCUGUGUUAGGUCGCUGCUGUUGCUGUUUGUUUUGUGGUCAGGUGAUUGACGCUAUCGGCGAGCUGUUCUUAGGUGGGUCAUUAUCUUUAAGAGCGGAUUCAUCGGGGAGUCCAAAAUUAUCGGGUUCCGGCUCUCGGUUGAACUUGGUUCAUCUUUUUGCGGCAAGUUGUUGGUGUGAAUUAGUCGACUCCGGGACUGCAGUUGUGGUAGUGUGUUUGUCUGGCUUUUGCUUCUAAAUUGAGUCGUUGUUUAGUUUUUCUUGUUUUCUGCUUCGUGUUAUUCUCUGUAAUUCUGUCAAAAACGAAAAUUGGUAAUAAUAUCUUGAGAAAUUGGGACUCCUAUACAAGCAUAACCGCCUAAUUUGCAGAUAUGGAAAAGUGUAUUUUUCAUCGACACGCGCUUGAUUUUAUGACCAUUCUGCCCCUACGGAGAAAGUUAAAAAAAAACUUGUUUCUUUCUCUCUCUCUCUAUCUUUUCACAAAAACCUCCGACUCUAGAUCUCUAGGUCAUACGCCGGAGUUCCGAGAGCUCAGUCUCCCCAUCUUCCAAGGCAUAAUCAAAUGUGCCCCAGAUGGUUACGAAACAGAGCUCCAAUUAAUCUACAAACAGUUCAAAGCCUCCGUCGAUCUCUUCCGACAGCAACUGCUCUCAGCAUCUCUUCCGUCGGAGGCAUCGGUUCCGACCCUUCUGUUGCCAAAGACCUCGCAAUAUAGCCAUGCUCCUAGCUCACAUCACUCGGUUAUUUCCUCUUUCUCUCGCUCUUGAACCUAGAAAUCGAAGCCUUUAAGAAAAGUAAAAUCUUUCAUUCUUUGAUUCGUCUAUGGAAAACGAACAAACAAAAAAAAAGUAAUUUUGAAGAAGAGGAAAGAGUAAAGCUUUGAUUUUGAAUUUGCUCAAGGGGAGAAGAGAAGUUGGUCUCUUGUGUUCUUCCGUCGAAGCUUUGAUCUGAGUUAGUGCAGAUUCGGUUUGGAUUAGAUUGUGAAGGAAACAGAGUAUUACAGAGUCUGAGAUCAAGAGAGCUUACUACAUCAAGGCACGCCAAGUUCAUCCAGAUAAGAACCCUAAUGAUCCUCAAGCUGCACACAGUUUCCAGAGAGGAGAUUAAACGGAGAGGACUAAUAAGGAAGAGUCUGCUGCUGAUGAGAAAAAUGUGUUUCUUUUACCGGAGUUUGAAGAUGAGAUCAAGAAGUCAGAUUUAUUGGUGCAGAUGAUGAAUGUGAAACGCCGAAGUCAGAUUAUUUAUCUUUACAAUGUUAUAUCCGGCUAACAAGCGAUUCCUUAGAGAGCUAAUUUUAUGUUUGGCCCUACACAAAUUUAAUUAUAUGUGAUGUUAUUGGUUAUAGAGUUAAUUUUAUAUUUAGCCAACACCAUGGCGAUUAGUCACUAAAAUAACCAUACAUACUAUACUAUAGAUAUUGUUUUUAUAUACCA